UGGGGAAUUUUGGACAAUGGGCGCAAGCCUGAUCCAGCAAUGCCGCGUGCAGGAUGAAGGCCUUCGGGUUGUAAACUGCUUUUGUACGGAACGAAAAGACUCUGGUUAAUACCUGGGGUCCAUGACGGUACCGUAAGAAUAAGCACCGGCUAACUACGUGCCAGCAGCCGCGGUAAUACGUAGGGUGCGAGCGUUAAUCGGAAUUACUGGGCGUAAAGCGUGCGCAGGCGGUUAUGUAAGACUGGUGUGAAAUCCCCGGGCUUAACCUGGGAAUUGCAUUUGUGACUGCAUCGCUGGAGUGCGGCAGAGGGGGAUGGAAUUCCGCGUGUAGCAGUGAAAUGCGUAGAUAUGCGGAGGAACACCGAUGGCGAAGGCAAUCCCCUGGGCCUGCACUGACGCUCAUGCACGAAAGCGUGGGGAGCAAACA
This 427-nucleotide ribosomal RNA is filed under the name uncultured bacterium. RNAcentral's name for it is "bacterial SSU rRNA". It matches the Rfam family "Bacterial small subunit ribosomal RNA", at positions 355 to 774 of the family's 1533-position model. The record is from RNAcentral.